AUUGAACGCUGGCGGCAGGCCUAACACAUGCAAGUCGAACGAGUGGCGGACGGGUGAGUAAUGUCUGGGAAACUGCCAGAUGGAGGGGGAUAACUACUGGAAACGGUAGCUAAUACCGCAUACAAUCGGAUGUGCCCAGAUGGGAUUAGCGAGUAGGUGGGGUAACGGCUCACCUAGGCGACGAUCCAUAGAUGGUCUGAGAGGAUGACCAGCCACACUGGACCUGAGACCCGGGCCAGACUCCUACGGGAGGAAGCAUUGGGGAAUAUUGCACAAUGGGCGCAAGCCUGAUGCAGCCAUGCCGCGUGUAUGAAGAGGGCCUUCGGGUUGUAAAGUACUUUCAGCGAGGAGGCGUUACUCGCAGAAGAAGCACCGUCUAACUCCGUGCCAGCAGCCGCGGUAAUUC
This 406-nucleotide ribosomal RNA is filed under the name uncultured bacterium. Its description in RNAcentral is "partial 16S ribosomal RNA". It matches the Rfam family "Bacterial small subunit ribosomal RNA", at positions 30 to 526 of the family's 1533-position model. The record is from RNAcentral.